RNAcentral lists this transfer RNA (85 nucleotides) under Desulfobacula sp. GWF2_41_7. Its description in RNAcentral is "tRNA-Leu". It matches the Rfam family "tRNA". Rfam says of the family: Transfer RNA (tRNA) molecules are approximately 80 nucleotides in length. Lineage: Bacteria; Pseudomonadati; Thermodesulfobacteriota; Desulfobacteria; Desulfobacterales; Desulfobacteraceae. RNAcentral also lists the same sequence under 6 other names. The record is from RNAcentral.
GCCGAAGUGGUGGAAUUGGUAGACACGCACGCUUGAGGGGCGUGUGGGGCAACCCGUGGGAGUUCAAAUCUCCCCUUCGGCACCA